This 497-nucleotide ribosomal RNA is filed under the name uncultured bacterium. Its description in RNAcentral is "partial 16S ribosomal RNA". It matches the Rfam family "Bacterial small subunit ribosomal RNA", at positions 28 to 507 of the family's 1533-position model. The record is from RNAcentral.
GACGAACGCUGGCGGCGUGCCUAAUGCAUGCAAGUAGAACGCUGAAGCGAGGAGCUUACUCUUCUUGGAUGAGUUGCGAACGGGUGAGUAACGCGUAGGUAACCUGCCUUGUAGCGGGGGAUAACUAUUGGAAACGAUAGCUAAUACCGCAUAACAAUGGAUGACACAUGUCAUUUAUUUGAAAGGGGCAAUUGCUCCACUACAAGAUGGACCUGCGUUGUAUUAGCUAGUAGGUGAGGUAAUGGCUCACCUAGGCGACGAUACAUAGCCGACCUGAGAGGGUGAUAGGCCACCCUGGGACUGAGACACGGCCCAGACUCCUACGGGAGGCAGCAGUAGGGAAUCUUCGGCAAUGGGGGCAACCCUGACCGAGCAACGCCGCGUGAGUGAAGAAGGUUUUCGGAUCGUAAAGCUCUGUUGUAAGUCAAGAACGGGUGUGAGAGUGGAAAGUUCACACUGUGACGGUAGCUUACCAGAAAGGGACGGCUAACUACGUG